RNAcentral lists this ribosomal RNA (639 nucleotides) under Triticum aestivum (bread wheat). Its description in RNAcentral is "partial small subunit ribosomal RNA". Lineage: Eukaryota; Viridiplantae; Streptophyta; Magnoliopsida; Poales; Poaceae. The record is from RNAcentral.
AUGCGAUUUUUCCAAGCUUUCUAUGACCAUUGCAGUGACCUGAGCGGCAUCAACACUGCCAAUAUUGUGCUUCUUCCAAAGAAAGAGAACCCAACAGAUAUCCGGGAUUUCAGGCCCAUUGCUUUGGUCCAUAGUAUACCCAAGCUUACAACGAAGGUUUUAGCAGUCCGGCUUCAACGUAUCAUCCCAAGCCUCAUACACCCCUUACAAUCUGGUUUUCUGCCUGGAAGAUGCAUAGCUGAAAAUUUCGCUUUGGCAGCAGAACUGGUUCAGCAGGCAAAAAAGAGAAAAAAGCCAAUGUUAGUGCUCAAGCUAGAUUUUCAGAAAGCUUUUGAUAGUGUUAGCUGGGAUGCUUUGAAGCUCAUACUCACAGCCAGAGGUUUUGGGAGCAGAUGGGUCAGAUGGAUACAUGACGUCCUAUCAACUAGUUUGUCCAGGAUAGUUAUCAAUGGAUCUGCCAGAGAGAAAAUCAUGUUAAGGAGUGGUCUAAGGCAAGGGGACGCCCUCUCUCCCUACCUCUUCAUCCUGGCAGCCGACGUUUUGCAACAGCUCUGCCAAAAGGAACACCAAGCGGGAAACCUCAACCUUUUGGGGGCGAUGGCCCCUUCCCGCUCCUGCAGUAUGAUGACGACAUGCUGA